This 497-nucleotide ribosomal RNA is filed under the name uncultured bacterium. RNAcentral describes it as "partial 16S ribosomal RNA". It matches the Rfam family "Bacterial small subunit ribosomal RNA", at positions 28 to 507 of the family's 1533-position model. The record is from RNAcentral.
GACGAACGCUGGCGGCGUGCCUAAUACAUGCCAGUUGAGCGAUGAAGCUUGGUGCUUGCACCAAUUUGAAGAGCAGCGAACGGGUGAGUAACGCGUGGGGAAUCUGCCUUUGAGCGGGGGACAACAUUUGGAAACGAAUGCUAAUACCGCAUAACAACUUUAAACAUAAGUUUUAAGUUUGAAAGAUGCAAUUGCAUCACUCAAAGAUGAUCCCGCGUUGUAUUAGCUAGUUGGUGAGGUAAAGGCUCACCAAGGCGAUGAUACAUAGCCGACCUGAGAGGGUGAUCGGCCACAUUGGGACUGAGACACGGCCCAAACUCCUACGGGAGGCAGCAGUAGGGAAUCUUCGGCAAUGGACGAAAGUCUGACCGAGCAACGCCGCGGGAGUGAAGAAGGGUUUCGGAUCGUAAAACUCUGUUGGUAGAGAAGAACGUUGGUGAGAGUGGAAAGCUCAUCAAGUGACGGUAACUACCCAGAAAGGGACGGCUAACUACGUG